Molecule: ribosomal RNA, 775 nt
Filed under: uncultured Neocallimastigales
Lineage: Eukaryota; Fungi; Neocallimastigomycota; Neocallimastigomycetes; Neocallimastigales
Description: partial large subunit ribosomal RNA
Rfam family: Eukaryotic large subunit ribosomal RNA
Source: RNAcentral
UACUAGAGUAGCACUCGCAUAUCAAUAAGCGGAGGAAAAGAAACCAACAAGGAUUCCCCUAGUAACGGCGAGUGAAGCGGGAAGAGCUCAAAUUUGAAAUCUUAAAGGGUUUCCCUUUACGAAUUGUAGUUUAAGGAAGUGUUUUCUGUUGAGGUUUUGGUAAAAGUUCUUUGGAAUAGGACAUCAUAGAGGGUGAGAAUCCCGUAUUUGACCUUUACUUUCAACUUUGUGAUACACUUUCAAAGAGUCGGAUUGUUUGGGAAUGCAGUCCAAAAUGGGUGGUAAAUUUCAUCUAAAGCUAAAUAUUGGCGAGAGACCGAUAGCGAACAAGUACCGUGAGGGAAAGAUGAAAAGAACUAUGAAAAGAGAGUUAAACAGUACGUGAAAUUGUCAAAAGGGAAGCGUUUGACACCAGUGUUGUUUUUCUGAAAAUCAAUUAAAGAACUGUUUAUGCUAAGUUGUUUAGACUUUAUCAGCUAAUCUGUUUAGUUUUAGGCUUUUCUUUAAUGCACUUUUCAGUUAACAAGUCAACAUCAAUUUCUUUUGCUGUAAAAAAGCUUGAGGAAGGUGGCUUGAGAUUCGUCUUAAGUGUUUAUAGCCUCUUGCCUAUGCAGUCGGAGAGAUUGAGGUCUGCAGCGUAGAUCCUUCGGGGCUAAAUGUAUUUGUGCUAAGUUAUAGCAUUUUAUAGACAACUUGUUGACUAUGAUUUGUCUUGUAGCUUACUCGCUUAUGUUAUUUUACCUACGCUUAGGAUGUUGAGCGCAUGUCUCUCUCU